This 556-nucleotide unclassified non-coding RNA is filed under the name Athalia rosae (coleseed sawfly). RNAcentral describes it as "misc RNA ENSAEAG00005008324.1". The record is from RNAcentral. Lineage: Eukaryota; Metazoa; Arthropoda; Insecta; Hymenoptera; Athaliidae.
CGUCCACUCUAAUAUCACGUAAUAUUCGUAGGAGUGUGCGAUGCAGGAAUAUAUAAACAGUUGCGUAGCGGGUUCGAGACUGCGAGGCCUUGAAGACGGAAUAGGCGAAGGCGUGUACGACGUCGUCCGACUUGACUCUAUAAAAGCAUGCCAAUAACUCGCGGGCAAAAGCUCUCUUCUUCGAAAGAAGAUAUGUAAACGCGUACAUCGACGAAUGAACCAACAGAUUAAACGAAGAUCGAUAUCAAUGAGAAACAACUCUGGGUCGCCGCGCCGUAUCGUGCAUACUAUUCAUAUUAAUUAUACGUAAUUGACAGUCCAAUGAACACGAAAUGUCUACUAAAUGGACCGACAAGCUACUUGUAAAAAAUAUUUCUACGACCAAUAGGAGCAGAGGUAUUCAAACUUACCACUGCCCAGAUGACCGUGAUAUUGCAUAGAUUUUUUCGGAUCCUCCAACGACUCUCAAAAAAUUCGUCUGUCAGUCCAUCUGGUAGAUAUUUGAAGAUAUUUUGUACUCUAUUCGACUGAACUGAAAGUCAAUUUCUGUACGACG